AUUGAACGCUGGCGGCAGGCCUAACACAUGCAAGUCGAACGAGUGGCGGACGGGUGAGUAAUGUCUGGGAAACUGCCUGAUGGAGGGGGAUAACUACUGGAAACGGUAGCUAAUACCGCAUCCCAUCGGAUGUGCCCAGAUGGGGUUAGCUAGUAGGUGGGGUAACGGCUCACCUAGGCGACGAUCCCUAGCUGGUCUGAGAGGAUGACCAGCCCAACUGGAAAUGAGACAAGGUGCAGACUCCUACGGGGGGCAGCAGUGGGGAAUAAUGCACAAUGGGGGCAAACCUGAUGCAGCCAUGGCGUGUGUAUGGAGAAGGCCUUCGGGUUGUAAAGUACUUUAAGCGGGGAGGCGUUACCCGCAGAAGAAGCAACGGCCAACUCCGUGCCAGGAGCCGCGGUAAUUC
This 406-nucleotide ribosomal RNA is filed under the name uncultured bacterium. RNAcentral's name for it is "partial 16S ribosomal RNA". It matches the Rfam family "Bacterial small subunit ribosomal RNA", at positions 30 to 526 of the family's 1533-position model. The record is from RNAcentral.